Molecule: ribosomal RNA, 253 nt
Filed under: uncultured bacterium
Lineage: Bacteria
Description: partial 16S ribosomal RNA
Rfam family: Bacterial small subunit ribosomal RNA
Source: RNAcentral
UACGGAGGAUCCAAGCGUUAUCCGGAAUCAUUGGGUUUAAAGGGUCCGUAGGCGGUUUGGUAAGUCAGUGGUGAAAGCCCAUCGCUCAACGGUGGAACGGCCAUUGAUACUGCCAGACUUGAAUUAUUAGGAAGUAACUAGAAUAUGUAGUGUAGCGGUGAAAUGCUUAGAGAUUACAUGGAAUACCAAUUGCGAAGGCAGGUUACUACUAAUGGAUUGACGCUGAUGGACGAAAGCGUGGAUAGCGAACAGG